CCUACGGGAGGCAGCAGUGGGGGAUAUUGCACAAUGGGGGGAACCCUGAUGCAGCGACGCCGCGUGGGUGAAGGAGUGCUUCGGCAUGUAAAGCCCUAUCGGCAGGGAAGAAGCAAGACGGUACCUGACUAAGAAGCCCCGGCUAACUACGUGCCAGCAGCCGCGGUAAUACGUAGGGGGCGAGCGUUAUCCGGAUUCACUGGGUGUAAAGGGAGCGUAGACGGCCAUGCAAGCCAGGGGUGAAAGGCCGGGGCCCAACCCCGGGACUGCCCUUGGAACUGGAUGGCUGGAGUGCGGGGGGGGCAGGCGGAAUUCCUGGUGUAGCGGUGAAAUGCUUAGAUAUCAGGAAGAACUCCGACGGCGAAGGCAGCCUGCGGGACCGCGACUGACGUUGAGGCUCGAAGGCGUGGGUAGCGAACAGGAUUAGAUACCCGGGUAGUC
RNAcentral lists this ribosomal RNA (441 nucleotides) under uncultured bacterium. RNAcentral describes it as "partial 16S ribosomal RNA". It matches the Rfam family "Bacterial small subunit ribosomal RNA", at positions 338 to 795 of the family's 1533-position model. The record is from RNAcentral.